CUACGGAGGGUGCAAGCGUUACUCGGAAUCACUGGGCGUAAAGCGCGCGCAGGCGGUCUUUUAAGUUGGAUGUGAAAGCCUACGGCUCAACCGUAGAACUGCAUCCAAAACUAUUAGACUAGAGUGUGGGAGAGGAAGAUGGAAUUAGUUGUGUAGGGGUAAAAUCCGUAGAGAUAACUAGGAAUACCAAAAGCGAAGGCAAUCUUCUGGAACACUACUGACGCUGAGGCGCGAAAGUGUGGGGAGCAAACAGGAUUAGAAACCCCAGUAGUCC
This 274-nucleotide ribosomal RNA is filed under the name uncultured bacterium. RNAcentral describes it as "partial 16S ribosomal RNA". It matches the Rfam family "Bacterial small subunit ribosomal RNA", at positions 523 to 796 of the family's 1533-position model. The record is from RNAcentral.